Molecule: non-coding RNA, 30 nt
Filed under: Rattus norvegicus (Norway rat)
Lineage: Eukaryota; Metazoa; Chordata; Mammalia; Rodentia; Muridae
Source: RNAcentral
UGCCUUGUUAUGACCACCUGUUUCAAGACC